This 253-nucleotide ribosomal RNA is filed under the name uncultured bacterium. RNAcentral describes it as "partial 16S ribosomal RNA". It matches the Rfam family "Bacterial small subunit ribosomal RNA", at positions 524 to 776 of the family's 1533-position model. The record is from RNAcentral.
GACGAACCGUGCGAACGUUGUUCGGAUUCACUGGGCUUAAAGGGCGCGUAGGCGGGCAAUCAAGUCAGGGGUGAAAGCCUCCAGCUUAACUGGAGAAGUGCCUCUGAUACUGGUCGUCUUGAGGGAGGUAGGGGCAUGUGGAACUUCCGGUGGAGCGGUGAAAUGCGUAGAUAUCGGAAGGAACGCCGGUGGCGAAAGCGACGUGCUGGACCUCUUCUGACGCUGAGGCGCGAAAGCUAGGGGAGCAAACGGG